RNAcentral lists this ribosomal RNA (469 nucleotides) under uncultured bacterium. Its description in RNAcentral is "bacterial SSU rRNA". It matches the Rfam family "Bacterial small subunit ribosomal RNA", at positions 328 to 794 of the family's 1533-position model. The record is from RNAcentral.
UGGCCAGACUCCUACGGGAGGCAGCAGUGAGGAAUAUUGGUCAAUGGGCGGAAGCCUGAACCAGCCAAGUCGCGUGAGGGACUAAGGCCCUACGGGUCGUAAACCUCUUUUGCCGGGGAGCAAGCCGUCCCACGUGUGGGCCGGUGGAGAGUACCCGGAGAAAAAGCAUCGGCUAACUCCGUGCCAGCAGCCGCGGUAAUACGGAGGAUGCGAGCGUUAUCCGGAUUUAUUGGGUUUAAAGGGUGCGUAGGCGGGAUGCCAAGUCAGCGGUAAAAAUGCGGUGCUCAACGCCGUCGAGCCGUUGAAACUGGCGUUCUUGAGUGGGCGAGAAGUAUGCGGAAUGCGUGGUGUAGCGGUGAAAUGCAUAGAUAUCACGCAGAACUCCGAUUGCGAAGGCAGCAUACCGGCGCCCUACUGACGCUGAGGCACGAAAGCGUGGGUAUCGAACAGGAUUAGAUACCCGGGUAAA